RNAcentral lists this long non-coding RNA (253 nucleotides) under Medicago truncatula (barrel medic). Its description in RNAcentral is "long non-coding RNA (MTRU_LNC003606)". The record is from RNAcentral. Lineage: Eukaryota; Viridiplantae; Streptophyta; Magnoliopsida; Fabales; Fabaceae.
UUGAGUCGUUUGGGAGAAAACGGGUUUUUCGUGUGAAAUGUCGAUGUUUAAGCGUUUUCGCCAAUAAGUGAUUAUGUGAGGUUUUGGAAAAUGACUUUUGGGAUGGUUGAAACAUGAAAUUUUUUAUAGAUUAUGUUAGAGUCAAGUGUCAGGAUCGUGUAGGUGAAAACGGCAUCAAAAUCCGAUUAACGGUUUGCAUUUUACGCGCGAAAUAGUGAAAAACGCACUUUUUGGAAAAGCUGUAAGCGAACAC